Molecule: ribosomal RNA, 340 nt
Filed under: uncultured bacterium
Lineage: Bacteria
Description: bacterial SSU rRNA
Rfam family: Bacterial small subunit ribosomal RNA
Source: RNAcentral
AUUGAACGCUGGCGGUAUGCUUAACACAUGCAAGUCGAACGGUAGCAGGCCUUCGGGCGCUGACGAGUGGCGGACGGGUGAGUAACGCGUAGGAACCUGCCUCAUAGUGGGGGACAACGUGGGGAAACUCACGCUAAUACCGCAUACGCCCUACGGGGAAAGCGGGGGAGUCUUCGGACCUCGCGCUAUGAGAUGAGCCUGCGUUAGAUUAGCUAGUUGGUAGGGUAAAGGCCUACCAAGGCGACGAUCUAUAGCUGGUCUGAGAGGACGAUCAGCCACACUGGGACUGAGACACGGCCCAGACUCCUACGGGAGGCAGCAGUGGGGAAUAUUGGACAAU